RNAcentral lists this ribosomal RNA (66 nucleotides) under Escherichia coli. RNAcentral describes it as "partial 16S ribosomal RNA". Lineage: Bacteria; Pseudomonadati; Pseudomonadota; Gammaproteobacteria; Enterobacterales; Enterobacteriaceae. The record is from RNAcentral.
GUGAAGUCGUAACAAGGUAACCGUAGGGGAACCUGCGGUUUGAUCACCUCCUUACCUUAAAGAAGC